Ipomoea triloba (trilobed morning glory) is the source of this 557-nucleotide long non-coding RNA. RefSeq lists it as uncharacterized. The record is from RefSeq and is a predicted model, not a curated record. The transcript is spliced from 2 exons. NCBI's taxonomy places the organism in Eukaryota, Viridiplantae, Streptophyta, Magnoliopsida, Solanales, Convolvulaceae.
CCGUCCGAGGUUUUCUUCAUUGGUGAUUUGCGAUGAUGGCUUUUCUUUUCUUCACUAGUGAGUUGCGAGUGUCGGCGGUGACGGGACUGUCAGCGAUCGUUGGCGACGGUCGGAGGGCGGAGUUAUCGUUUGGACGGUCGGCUGUAGCGCUCUGAAAGCGGCGGUUGCGUUGCAUGUCGGUGGUGGUCUGUGGGUUGCAAUCUGAACGUGUUUCAAUGCCGGAUCGUGGUGAAGGGCUUCGACGGCGUCGCAAUUCCGGUCCGGCGACGGAGGGCUCGGUUCCAGCGAAAAAGCAGCGGGGGCACCUUCAGUGGGAUGUUUGUCUCGGGGUGAGAACGACGAUGAUGAUUUUGAAGAUGGUCCGAAUGUCGUUAGGGAGGCGCCUUGCCGGGAUCCUUCGCCCGAUGCUCCGGACAUUGAGUUAACUGUAGAACAGCGGACAACGUUUCCUACUGUUAGAGUUAGGGUUUCACAUGCUUAUUUGCACCGUUGCCGUGCAAUAUUACUCUUAUGUGCCUAGUAUUAUUUUAUAUUUUAUUUAACUAACUCGGUUUAAA